GAUGAACGCUGGCGGCGUGCUUAACACAUGCAAGUCGAACGGUGAAGCAGGAGCUUGCUCUUGUGGAUCAGUGGCGAACGGGUGAGUAACACGUGAGCAACCUGCCCCAGACUCUGGGAUACGCGCUGGAAACGGCGUCUACUACUGGAGAUGAGAUGUGACCGCAUGGUAUGCAUCUGGAAAGAAUUUCGGUUGGGGAUGGGCUCGCGGCCUAUCAGCUUGCGUGUGGGGUAAUGGCUCAACAAGGCGUCGACGGGUAGCCGGGCUGAGAGGUGGGCCGGCCACACUGGGACUGAGACACGGCCCAGACUCCUACGGGAGGCAGCAGUGGGGAAUAUUGCACAAGGGGCGGAAGCCUGAUGCAGCAACGCCGCGUGGGGGAUGACGUCCUUCGGGUUGUAAACUUCUUUUAGCAGGGAAGAAGCGAAAGUGACGGUACCUGCAGAAAAAGCACCGGCUAACUACGUGCCAGCCGCCGCCGUAA
Molecule: ribosomal RNA, 484 nt
Filed under: uncultured bacterium
Lineage: Bacteria
Description: partial 16S ribosomal RNA
Rfam family: Bacterial small subunit ribosomal RNA
Source: RNAcentral